Molecule: long non-coding RNA, 273 nt
Filed under: Homo sapiens (human)
Lineage: Eukaryota; Metazoa; Chordata; Mammalia; Primates; Hominidae
Description: non-protein coding lnc-ENPP5-2:5
Source: RNAcentral
GCCUCUGGCUCUGCAUCUGUAAAAUGGACUUUACAUUCAGUUUCUUUAUCUGGCAAUAAGAAAGGCUUUAUAGCUACUCCCAGGGAUGCAUAAAGCACGGCAAACCAACAAAGGCCAAGAGGAGGUGAGAAAGAAAAACAAGGAGACAACCAUCAAAUGGAGCCCUGGGCCCGAAUCUUCAAAUUGCUCCUGUCUUCUCCUUCUAAGAGGUGCCACCUGCAGUGGGUCAUGCUCCUGGCUGAUGCUGCUAGAAAAAGAACUCAUCUGUAUCAC